Molecule: non-coding RNA, 71 nt
Organism: Phrynosoma platyrhinos (Desert horned lizard)
Lineage: Eukaryota; Metazoa; Chordata; Lepidosauria; Squamata; Phrynosomatidae
Source: the annotation of a GenBank genome assembly
GCCAGUAUGGUGUAGCGGUUUGAGCGUUGGACUAUGACUCAGGAGAUCAGGGUUCAAAUCCUGACUUGGCU